Molecule: non-coding RNA, 72 nt
Organism: Araneus ventricosus
Lineage: Eukaryota; Metazoa; Arthropoda; Arachnida; Araneae; Araneidae
Source: the annotation of a GenBank genome assembly
GACUCGGUGGCGCAACGAUAGCACAUCCGACUUCAGAUCGGAAGGCUGCGUGUUCAAAUCACGUCCGGGUCA